Molecule: long non-coding RNA, 4241 nt
Organism: Callorhinus ursinus (northern fur seal)
Lineage: Eukaryota; Metazoa; Chordata; Mammalia; Carnivora; Otariidae
Source: RefSeq, a predicted model, not a curated record
UUUCCUAGAUGCCAAAAGCAGAAAUUCCCCGAGGUCAAACCUGAAAUUCCGCUUCGACAAGCUCAGCCAUGGCAGCUCUAGUGCGGGUCACUAAUGUGAAAGAGGAGUCCUUCGCUUGUCAAAGGGAAGCCCCGAUUCUGUCUCGGAGAAGGCUCCUAUUCCGGCAGUUUGGGGGUGCCAUCCACUAUUCUGACCGUUACAGUCCUGCUGCCCCACCGGCCACUUGCCCACCAGACCAGCUGUCUGUCCCCGUGUCCCGAUCUGGCCACCAUCCUGCCUGUCCCCUUGCCGAGGCACCCUGCAAGCACUCUCCUUCUCUGGACGGGGCCUCAUUCCUCCAGGCUCCCCCUGCUCCCGACCGGCCCGUGUGACGUGUGUCUGGCUCGUGCAUCACCUUGUUUUGUGCACAGAGGAAAGAGUUGGGCAAAGGGGAUCUGGGUCCUGGGGACUGGGGCCAAGACUGGAGAAGCAGAAAGCGGUGAGGUGGGGUGCGGGGGCCGCCAGCUCGAUGCUGCACGGGGAGGGGCAGCACAGUGUCCUGCACGUGACAGGCACAGCAAACCCAUUGAGUGGUGGCGGAGGGACCACUUUUCCAGGCACCAAGAUCUGUAGCCGGCCUCCACGAUGUGAGGCUAGAAAUCAGCGGCGUUGCUCGCACAGCUGUGUGCUUCUGCGCUAGGAGCUGCUUUCUGGCCCAUCUGCCGCCCUCGGGCCCAGCACUGCCUCGUCCCUGAGGCCAGCGCACCCUGGGUGCCGGCAGCAGAGGCGAGACAGAGCUGCGCAUGUGUGGAGGUGGCCCCACGCCGUUGCUGUGGGAGAAGCCCUGGUCAGUCUCUCCCCUCAGAGCGGAUGUGUUCCCCAAGGAGGGGUGGGCGGCCCGGAGCAGGAAGGAAUUCAGGGAGAGCAAGCUGGCGAACUGUGCUGUGGGGCCUUGGCUGAGGAGAACCGUGGGGCCAUGGGCUGGGAUGGGAUCAGGUCCCCGCUGGAGGUGGAGGUUCGUGGAAGAGUUGCUUUAGCCUACCACUUAGGUCAGAGCCGGGGAGGUGGGGGGUGACCUGUCCCCUCGGUCGACGUGUGGACGUGGAAGGUAGGCGUGAGGAAGGAGCGACAUCCUUCUGCGAUUUCUGCUCCUGGCAUCUGUGGGCCGGGGUGGGGGGCAGGGCUACCUUGGGGGCUCUUUCCAGCUGCUCUGCCCUUUGGCCUUGUUGGCGCUUGGUCCUCCGAUCCCCUUCACCCACGGGUCUGUAGGCAGUGGUCACAUUGGCGGGAUUUUUACGACCUGGGCCCCAAGCUGGAUGCAGUUCAGAGGCUGCCUGCCCCCUGCCCCCUUGGCCAGAGCCAGCUCACUCUCAGGAGCAGGCCCCCUCUCCCUGUGUCUCACCCACCCCCGUCUGCAGAGCCCUGGGGGUGCGAGUGGGGCCCUGUAACGUGGGAUAGCCCUGGUGCCUCAGGCCGGGCCCCUUCUUCCGUGAGCCGAUGACAAGGAUUUCUACCAAAUGUUUUAUUUGCAUUGGGAUUCGGGCCUGUUCUGAAGUCAAAGCAAUCCUGUCAAUGUUCUACUUGUUUUUGACUGAUGUGACCGUUUCCCCACUGCUUUUGCCAUUAGAGCAAAACCUUGAUCCUUUGUCUCUCACUCAUGCGGACGUUGUGGGAUCCUAUUUGCCGGCUGGGUGGAUCUUUCCCCUCACUAUUUGGGAAACGUGUUUACUUAAAAUUCUAGUCCAGUAAAAUUUCUUCCAGUGAGAAAGAAGGUCAACAAGCGUCUGUUUAGCUUUUAUUAAAAAUCACUGUAGCAGCACCCACUGCUGGAAUGAGGUCUGCGGAUUCUGGCAGUGUUCUGUUGGCUGGCUUUCUGAAGGAACUUGAAAGGUCAAACUGCGUUUAAAACAAAAACAAAAAACACACAGCUCUUCCAGGUUCUGGCUUGCUUCUUGGGUAGCUGGUAUUUAUAGCUGCUUGGUGGUUGUGCUGUGCUGUGUUGUGGUCUGGGGGUCCUCUGGAGUUUCCAGGUUGUCCCCACCCUGUCCUUGGGAGCCUCAUACCUGCUUUCCUCCACUGCUCUGGCUGUUCCUUCUGCAGCCCCCACCUCCUGGGAGGGCUCUGCCCCUGCCUCUGAGCCAGUGGCCAGGAUGGCUGGGUGUGUCCAGGGACCCUGGGAGGCACAGGCCUGUUCCCUACGAAACAGACCUGAGAAGUGGUGUCUACCUUCUGUUUGCUACUGGGGGUGCACUGGGCAGGGUCUGAAGCGUUCCUCUCUCUGGGUCCUGUCUCACCUUCUCUAGAAAGCCCAACCCAUCUAUGGCUUCCAGAGUAUACAUGACCAGCCUGUGAGGUCCUAGGGCUGAGGGGGACGAGGACAGAGAGUGGACAGUCUCAUCCCACCCCUCUGCACAUUGGGGCAGGCAGCUUGGGUUCCUGAAGGCUGCUUCCCCCAUAUUCUCUUGCAUCUGCUCUGGUCCAAAGUUUCCUUUUAUUGCUGCACCCAGUCUUGGGGCUCAAAUAUUUGCUCAAGUCUCCUUGGUCCCUGUGACCAGACUUAUCCUGACGGUGCUCAUGCUGGGAUUUGAAACACUCUGCUUGUGAUCUGGACACAUCUCUGCCUCUGGGAAGUGCCUGACUCGUGGAAGAAACUACACUGGUCAGACUCUGCAGGGCACCCAUAUGCUCAGUUGAUGCUUAACAACAGAUGCAGAAUGAGCUUGAGAUAGAAGAUCUGACCUAGAGUUUCUAAUGAAUGGAAAAUGAUGAAUGAAUGAAAAAUGAGUGAAAAACAUUCUGUGGUUCAGCCUUGUUGGCCUCAUCUCAAUGUCCAAGCCUUCUGGGCCCCUUUUGACAUCUAAUCCAUCCAUAUCGUCAUCCAGCUGAGAAACCUCAGCCCCAGUGAGGGGAAGUGACUCACUGGAGGUCGCACAACUAACGAGUGGCAAAGCUGGGAUUGGAACCCACAGCCCAGGCCCGUUCUUCGGUGCCACCUACAUGGUCGGUUGAACGGGUGGCUACAUUUGCUGGGGCCCUGAGUUUUGGAGGAGUCAGUUAGCUAGUGCCUGGGCCCUGGUUGGGAGCUGUCCGCGGUCAAGGUGGGACUUCAGUCUCUUCUUUUCAUCGGGAGGGAUAUGCACUCAGUUUCCAGUGAGGGCCCUGGGGUUUUGGAUGCGGCUUGAGCAAAGAAAACAAGGAGGGAAAGAGAUUUUUAGUGGACCGUUCCUGGUAACCUCAGGUCUUCAGCUCUGGUCUGUAAUGGGGGUGGAGGCUGGGGCAGAGUGCAGUUACCUAGCCCUCAGUUUCCCCUUCUUAAGUUCAGAAGAAAAGUGGUAAAAGAAAACGCUAUUCUCCCUGAUCCUUAAACAAAGGUGGUUAAUAAAAGUGUAGGUUCCUGUGCCAAGGUAGGACGAGAGCCAGAGUCACUUUCGUACCCUGACUGGUUAGGGUGCCAAUGCAAACACUAACUUCCUCAUUUGAUUCUGAGUCAACAGAGAUAGGUUGUUGUGGGGGAAUGGCCAGGGGUCAAGUAGGUGGCUGGCAGGGACCCACGGCUUCUCCUCAAGCUCCCUCUCGGCAAGGUGGAAGUGGGUCAGUGGGGUUUGCCUAGGCUGCCAAGGAGCGUUCUAGCUAGUGGUAGCACUAGCCCCUCGCCCACCCCAACCCCACAACUCCCUCCUCUCAGCCAGGCCAUCUGCCCCUUUGGGAGGAAGGAGACCACCCCCACUAGGGCCAAGGACAGCAGAGCCCUGCCUAGUGAGAGGCUGUUGGGGCAAUGGCUCUGUCCUGGGCCUUACCAGCCCUGGGGAGAGGGUGUUUGGCUUGGAAGGCUGGAAUUUAAAUGCCAUCAUCCUUGAUUUUGUAAUAUUUCCACUCGGAACGGUCAGUUCCUCCUUCCCGCUCCUUAGCAUGUAUGCCAACUCUCCCGCGUCAUGGACGUUACCCUUCUACACUCCGGCCUGGGGAGUGCCGAUGUUCUAAUGUGAAGAGAUUCCUUUGUGUGAUAGAACCUAAGAAGUGUAGCUUGGAAAUGAUGAUCCAUGUGAUGAUGACUUUUCUUUCUUUCCUCUUCUUGAGGAGGUGAUUCGUAGACCCCGACUGCCUAUGUAAUGUAAAUAAUGUACAUUUAAUUUAUUGCUAUGGUAGCACAUUGUAUUUGUUAAUGUAUAAAACAAAUUCUAAAAGGUCGACAAAUGUAUAUUUUGUUGCUUAAAUGUGUCUUUGCAGAAAUUGACAAUAAAUAACAUAUUUUGUGUCCAUCA